ACUCCCUCUCUCACCUAAGGAUCCUCCCUGAAUGGGCCUGGGUCUGCUGCUAACACAUCUCAGGAGCGCCAGCCUCAGCCCCCACUCCCAGCGCCUUGGUAAAGGUGAGCGCUACCGGAAAGAUUGCGCAUGGGGCAAAAGCAGCUUCUGAGGGCCUCUCGAAGUGCGGCCCUGCCUUCUUGGCAGUGAGAAGUGUAUGCCCCCAACCUCCACUUAGCUCUUAGUACUGGGGCCAGAGUAUCCUGGGUGUAAGAUAGAGAUGAAUCUUCUCCACGCCACAAGGCCCUGAGGAUCAUACACAACAGUGCCCCUAAAGCGCCCGGCACAGCACCUGACUAGAGCACACGGGCAACGCAAGCGACAGACGGGAGCUGGGAGAGUUUCCUGUGGCUGCCGGAACAAACAAUUACAAACUGGGCGUGGUGACGGGCGGUCACGCACCUGACCUUUACCUUCUCACCAUUCUGAAGGCCGGAAGUCUGAGAUGCUGUUGCCAGCAGGGCCACACCCCCUGAGGGCUCUGGGGAAAGAAGCAUCCCGGCCUCUUCCGGCUCCUGGUGGCUCCAGGCUCCUGGGAUUGUGGCUGCAUCGCACCUGGCUCUGCCUCUGUCUUCACGUGGCCUCUCCCCACGUGUCUUUUCCUCUCCUCCUUAGGACACUUGUCAUUGGAUUUAGGGCCCCCCAUAGAAUCCAGGAGGGCCUCCUCUUCAGAUCCUUAAUGACAUCUGCAAAGACCCUUCAUCAAAUAAGAGGUGCUCCUGGGUCCCCAGCAACAGAUUGGGUGUUCAACUGUGCCCCUGUUGGCCUCCACGUGAGCCCUGAGGAAGAAACUGUCCCCAUAAGGGCACAAGGCUGGUGGCCAGAUCUGCAGCUAGGCCGGGAUGCGGCUCCCAUGCGGCCCCAGUGCCUCUGCAGUGCCUGUCACCCUGGGCUGUCUCUAAGAAUACUCCAUGAUUCCAGGGCACAGAGCUGCAGUGCUGCCCCCGGUAUGCCUCAGCCUGCACUGCAGCUCAGAGGCAGCAACGGGGGCAACGCAAACCAGCUCUGUGUCUGAGAGCCUCUGCCUUGCUUUCUGGGGGAUGGCACAGCACUGACAGGACAUGCCAACAGCUGCAGGUGGUAGGGAUAGUGACGCACCCUGCCAGGCUCUCCAUGCCCUCCCUAGACACUUGGAGAAAGCACCCUUUCAUCUGUCCGAGGAAUCCUCGAGAAAUAGUCAUGCACUCUUAAUUCAGAUGUUAUAUAGUCAUAUCUAAUGGUAACAACGGCCGUCACUUGAAAACGGCUCCUGUGCACAUAUCUUCCAAGAACAGAUCACGGAAACGUUACCAGGUGACUGUCUUUACACGCUCUGCGUCAGCAAUGGGGAGCUGGCAUAAGCUUUUGGUUGGUGGUGUGAACCAUGCCAGCUCCCCGAAGCAAGCUUUCUUUUCUGUUGUUUGAAAUACGGCAGGAGAGCUGUUUCUGGUUCAAGAGAAAUCAUUUUUGUACCAAUUUAAUUCAUGUCUCUAAAACCGAGGCAGGGAUGGCAUCACAGUCUGUUCCACGAAUUCCUACUCAUUUGGGGCCUUUCCAUGACAAAUCAUUUGUAAUGGAAUCUCUCCGAAGCACAGGGGGAAAAUCGAAGGCAUCACAGUGCCCUUUCCAUUUCAGUCAACUCCACCGGCCAGGAUUCCGUUUGCAGAACACGGGGCAAACACAGAACGGUGCCUGCCCAGCACACUCACUCCCUGUUAGCGCCUCUGUUCACCUGUGUUCUUUUAUAUGAGUGACCAUUUCCUAAAACGCAGUCACUGUCAAGUAAGAUCUUGGAAAUUAUCACCACGGAGAAAAAGACAAUGAAGAGUCUGCAUUAAAAAUGCGAUGGGUGCUGAGAUAGAAGGAGCUCAGAACGGCCCGGGGUCAUUCCAUUUUCAAGACCUCCCACCAGUCACUGCUGGAUAGAGGAAGCAAGCUGGACAUCAGUGUUUAAUCAACAAAAUUUAUUAUCCAUAAGCUGACAAUGCCUGAGGUUACCUGAGGACUGGCAUUAAAUAACUUAUACAUGUAUUUUUGACAGACUUUUAUAAGUAUUCAUGUGUUUAUAAAAGCAAACUCCAACCUCUCCCCUGCUAGAAAUUGGGAUCAUGCCCCCGCCGUAGGCACAGCCUUGGGGGAGGAUGAAGCCACAAAGCUCUGCUCUGCCCACAUUGUCAGAACGCCCAAGAGGUGAGUGGCCAUGCGAAGCCAAGCCUGGGCAAAAGCUGGCCUGUGGUGUAGACUCUCCAAAAUGCAGACCCAACCAGAAGCCAGCCUGCCUUUCCAUCUGGAGGCCCUGCAGAGUUUCUGAAGGUGUCCUGUUCCAGGAGCCUGGCAAACACCUCCAGAGAUACUCGGGGUGUGCCAACUCUGGGGCUGUGUCCUGAGAAGCCAGGGCUCCACGGCCCAGCCCAUGGAUGCGUGCCCAGGGGGCAGGCCCCACGCCCUCAGCAUGUGCUGACAUGCUGUCUCCAGCUCCAGAAGCCACACCAGAACCUUCCACGGAACAUCUAAGUGAUGAAAUCUCAACAUUACAGUAAAAAAGCACAAAAGGUCCCUUUUGCAAAUCUUUGUGUACAGCUAAGAUGUUCAGUUCAGUGCGGCGUCUUGCCCGUGCACAUCCAGUGCGCACACGGACGUAGGGGCUGAACCGCACACUCAUCUGGGGCAUCUUCACUGGAAUAUGAGACCACGCAUGAUGCUAUUUUACUUUUUCUUUAGAUUCUGUGUAGUUUCCUGAGCAUAUUUCAGAUGGAACUUCUUUUGGUCUGCGAUCUUUGGCAGAUAAAAGGUCUCUAGGAUUAUUAUAAAAAUUGUGCAUUAUUAAAAAGAAAAGGAAAAAAGACAUCUUGCCUCAGCUGGCCCAACCCCUGUCCCAAAAACCUUAUCCCACUGUGGUCCCCUCCACCUGCACAGGCCCUGCCCCCCUUCUCUGCCAGGAGACAGACCCUUUGUUAUCUGAACCACUCUUCCUUCUCGCAGGCCCCGGGCUCACCAUCAGGUGCCCAGCCCAGCAUUCCUCUGUGAUGCCUAAGGACCAGGUAAGUGAAUGCAUGAGGUAAGGAAAGGAAGACCAGAGAGGUGAGAGCCUCAGGUCACCUGUGACUCAGUCUCCGGCUUCAUGCCAGCCCAUGGUUGUGGUUUCCAGCAAUUUCCAGGCAAUACACAAAGUAACAUCUCAAUAGAGGUUAUCACCAACACGAUGCGGCUGCCUGCCUGAGACGUACCCCAGCAGGACACACUCUCCGUGAGGUUUAGCCAGGGGGCCCAAAGGCCUAUGAGAAGCUGCUGACCACACGGUAAGGAAGCUCCAUGCUGAGCCUGGGCUGCCCUGCCCCUCACCACUUGGGGCUUCUGCUCCUGACGGGCUCUUUGGAGCAACGGGGGGAAGCCGGUCCCCACACAGAGGGCAUGGUUCCGCUUGGCACGCUCAGCCACGCUAUUCUCCUUUCCAGAUGGCGAUCUUCCCCUCCUCCUUGCCCGACCCACUCAGCACGUAUCUGUCCUCAGCCGAGCACAGCGUCCUCACAGUGUCCAUGUGUGCCACCAGCUCCUUCUCCACGGUCUUGCUCUCGGCAUCAAUCACGUAGAUUUUCCCCUUGGGUGUUCCCUGCCACAGCCCUCGGCUACCCACCCAGACCUGCCAGGGAGAAACAGGAGGGGUUAGUGGGGAAAGGAGCCCCUCCUAGGCAUGCCAGGGCUCUGCCCAGCUACCUGAAAUUGACAUGUGUGCCCCAAAACUACCUCCUUCCUGGACAGGGCUCUGCCGGCUGAGGGCCAGGGCCACCUGGCAGGUGCAGAGGACCCUUCUCAGGCUUAGAACCUAACGGCCAAGGGGCUCUAGGGAACGAAACUGAGUCGAGCGCUGGAAACGUGCUGGGGGUGGAUUGUAAGUGUUCUCACCACCCAAAAAACAGCCACCUGUACAGUGACGGAUAUGGCAAUGGAGCGGCUUGACUGUGAUUAUUUCACAAUGUAUAUUGAAAUAGCAUUGUGUAUACCUUAGAUAUAUGUAACUCCUAUUUGUCAGUCCUAGCCAGCAGAGUCCUGGGGAGAUGCUCACUGAAUUCCCCCCGCAUUGUCUGAGACUUGCUCGGGACCUGGAACUCCAGCUUUCCUUCCUGUUUCUCCCUUUUUGGGUGGGAACGUCUGACCUCUGCCUAGCCCAGCCUUGUAUUUCGGGAAGAGACAGACCUUCUAGCUGCACAGGUUCCCAGUGGAAGAGCAGCCGGUUCUGCCCCAGGUGGACCCCACCCCACAGCUCACCCACAUGGAAAGGUACUGGCUCCACGUGGAAAUUUGGGGCUCAGAACAGAUGCUGGAAUGAGCAAGGGCUUUGGGGGAUGUAGUGAUGGAGGGAGUGUAUUUUGCAUGUGGGACAGCUGUGGAUUUGGGGGGCGAGAGAGCAGACCGUAAUGGGUUGAACAGUGUCCCCCAAAUACAUGUCCUCACCGAACUUCAGAAUGUGAGCUGCUUCGGAAAUUCAGUGUGACCAGCGUCCCCACAAGAGACACAGGCACAGGGGGAGAGAGUGCUGUGUGGCCUAGGCGCAGAUUAGAGUGCCACGUCCACAGCCAGGGACCGUGGCCGCAUGAGCAGGGGGCAGAGAGAAGGGCCUGGAGUGCAGGUGCCCCCGAGGGAGGCCGCACUGCUGACACCUUAUUUCUGGCCUCCAGCCUCAAGUAGUGUGAGAAAAUAAGGCUGUCACUUGAAGCCACCCAGUUUGGGGGAGUCUGCUGUGGAUCCUAGGAACACCUGGUUUGUGAGUGCUUGGGGCACACCAUGAAACCUGCAGCCCGUGUGACCUGUGUGCCCACUGGCGCCAACCCUGCGCAUGCCUGUUGGAGGGGCCCUGAGAGGCAAGGGCAGGAGGGCACAGGGUGCGUGUGGCUGGCUCUCUGGGGAGCGUGGGGACCUGGCCGGGGCAAGCGAGACCUGGCAGGAUGCUGGGGGUGGUGGGCCCUCCACCCUACCUGCUUCUUCACCCGGAUCAUGCAGAUGAUCUCAGAGCAGUCCUCGAGGGGCACCCUCUGAGGGGGCUGGGCCAGGUCCUUCAGGCUCCAGAUGUAAACCUCGCUUCGUCCUGUACAUGCCGCCCACAGCUGCUCCUGCUGAAACACAGGGCACAGUGUGGGCCAUGGGCCUCGGGCCACGUGCAUGCUGGGCCCAGAGCCCCUGCUGGGAUACCUCAGGAAGGAGCUGGAAGGCCAGGAAGGAGGUGUUGGUGUCUGUGAAGUUCUCCUCAAUCUUCAGUUCUUGACGAAGGAAGCCGUUCGUUGUCAUGACCACGAUGCUGUUACCUGUACCUGUAGAAGGGAGGAGCUAAGAUGGGGCCAGGCAGCAUCACUGGCAACAUAAGAUGCCCACACCUGAGCUCUCUUGCUGCUGCUGAGGAAACCACAGGAAUCCUGUGCCCUCACCCACGGCUUUGAGCACCGUGGCGAGAAGAUGCAGCAGCUUCUCAGAGGCGGUUCAGGGUUUUCUACACCUGAAACCAAAGUGGCUCCAACAGCCACUGUUAGAAUUCAGGGACAACACCCACCCUCUGGGGAACACGCCCUGUGUGGUUCUAAGUGCCCCUCUCAUCUGUGAACCACUCUAGCAGAACGUCUUUUUUGUCAAGCAAGAAAGUUUCCACAUCUGUGAGAUCUGUGAGCGGUCGGAGGCAGCACCACCGAUGGAUGUGAGGCAAGGUCUCCAGAGAAGACCGAAGCCGGCGUUCAGGAGACAGAGGCGUGCCCAGCCCUCCUUCCUCACACUCUGACUGCAAGCAUCCCUCCCUCUCCACUGCCCCACGCUGAAGCCCCAGUGUUAGCACGGAAGUGGGAGGGCAGGAGAAUAGGCCCGGCCCAGCAGCGCCCACCCCAACCUACAGGGAGGGAUGGAUUCCCAAGCAAUGCGGCAGAAGGUACCCAGGGCCACAGGAGGGGGCUUCACAGGGCACAGGGGACACAGGACUGCAGCCCCUCUGGCACCCGCCUCGUCCGAGAAAUGGCCCCUCAGUCUUUGGCCGCCUCAGCGACUCUCAACCUAAGCUGCGUUUGCGUCCCUCCCUCCUUGCUUCUGAGCUGGGCUGAUGGUGCUUUUCCCGAGACCUGACAUCAAGCGCUGGCAUCCCACAGGGAGCCCUUCAGCCAGACUCAGGACCGUCCUCCCGGACUCAUGAACAGCCUCUUCGGCUGCUGCUGCCUGUUACGAGUGCCAGGUCGGUGGGUGCCAGGGACCACUGAAGCCUGUGUGCAGGGGGCCUGUGCCACACUGGGCGCCCCACCAGUCCUCUUGCCCACAGGGGCUCCUCCUCGGUGCUGGACCACUAGCUCUCACACCGCCCCAGACUCUUCGUAAACGCACGGGCCCAGACUAUCAGAAUUCAGAUGCCAACACUGUUGUGUGUAGGGGUGCCUGCCAUACAUAGGGCACCGUGUGAGGGGACAGAUGUGGGCAGGACUGGUUGCUGUCCCCGAGGUAUGCCAAGCACACCUCGUGGGAGUGGGAGGAGGGCAGGGACCUGGGGAGGGCUUUCUCUCAGCUGGGACUCAGGAAUGGAGAGGGUAAGGAUAACUGGGGAAGUGGGCGAAGAACAGGGGACAGGGGUGAGGGGCUGGCAAGGGGGGUAGUGGGUCUCGGGUACCCAUUGCCAGCCUCAGCUGGACUGAGGGGCUGGGCUCCAUCCUGGGGGCACAGUGGCCAUGGGGCACCCUUACUCUGCCUCUCUACUCCUUGCCCCUUUCUGAAGCUUUGGUCUUGUCCCAUGACCCCUUUCCCACGCAAGCCCGGUCCAGGCCACUGGGGCUCCAUGCCCGCCCCCCGGGCCCAGGUUCCGGGCCUCUGCUGCUGGCAUCUGGCACUCUCUGCGCCUUUGAGGGAGACAGUGCCCUCGCUUCCUGCCUCCCCACCCUCAGUGCCCUUUGCAGUGGAAAGCAUGGGGUUCACAUCUCACUCUUUCAACACUGAAGACUCCAGGAAGGUGAAGGGGCUGCCCAGUCAGCAAGCAUCCAAUGCCCAUGCCUGGAUCCAAGCCCAGAUGCCCAGAAGGCCACAGCCCACCCCGCAGUGCACCCAGCAGCCUGGCAGAUGUUAACCUCCCAGCAUGGGUGACGGGGGGCAGAGGUCCAGCUCCUUCUAGAAAAUGGCCCAAGCCGCCAUCCUUCUGAGCAACACUCCACCUUGGUGGUACCCCUCACCAGAGGGGGCCGCUCAUCCCAGCCUCGGGGCUGACAUGGAAGGACCACCCCGGGGCACCCCCAGCCCCACCUUGCUCAGGGCGCUGGGAGGAUUAGGGCACCGCCACCCCGCUCCAUGCUAUCUAUCUUGCAGGCUGCGCCACUGCACCCACAGAUACCCAGAUGGAAACAAGACAAGGCCUGACCCAAAUCUUGCAAGUGCGAACCUCUGAUGAGUGGCCACAAUUUUUGCUCAUUAUCCUCAUUAGAGAAAGACUGGAAAUAACCUCAUAAGCAAAUGGCCUCCAAGUUUACCUGAGGAAAGCCCAGGUUCCUCUUGUACCUUCCUCAGUGUGGUUCAGGAAAACCACUUGUUGCAUUCAGACAAGUCAAAUGGGAAAGUGAAGAGGCUCGUGUGUAAAGAUACAACACUUAAAACGAGGCUGCCGGCCCGCAUGGUAGCUCACGCCUGUAAACCCAGCACAGUGGGAGGCUGAGGCAGGAAGACUGCUACAGCCCAGGAGUUCAAGACCGGCCUGGGCAACAUAGUGAGACGCCCCCUCAGACAAAAACUCUUGUCCAUCCUCACCUCUUUGGUCUCCCUGGCUAUCUUCAGCAGGUACCUUUCAGCCCAUGGACUGGUCGGCUAGAUUAAUCCAAAAUGCAACUGCAGAGGACAACUUCUCACUCACACACACACACGCACGCGUGACGGUCCCUGGAGACCAAGAAGAGCUGAGGACCCGUUCCCUGAAAGAAGGGGAGCGAGUGUGCAGCACUGCAGUCACCCAGCUUUCCCCAGGGCUCCAAAGAGUCCAAGUUCUGGCAGAGCACAGCAGCCCGGACUGGCUGAGGUAGGUUUGGGGCUGCCGGCAUGGCUGGAAAUGGAGGAAAAAGCCUCAAGAUGAGGGAACCCCAAAAUACACAUAAAUGUCCUCGAAUCCCUGGCUGCUGCCUAAACUGCAAAUAAAUAGCAGAAAGUGGUAGCUGGAACAUUCUGGAACCAAGAAGGCAUUUCAUUGCUUCCUGGGGCUAGAGAAAGGAGAGGUUAAUAACAGUUCCAGCUCAGGGGUGUCCAACCCUUCAGCUUCCCUGGGCCAUACAUAAAGUACACUAACACCAACAACAGCUGAUUUGCAAAAACUAAUCUCAUAACUUUUUUAAAAAGUUCUCAAAUUUUUGUUGGGCCACAUGCAAAGCCAUCCUGGGCCGCAUGCAGCCCCCAGGCCAUGGGCUGGACAAGCUUGCUCUAGCUUAUCCAAAGUAGAAAGGGUUGGUUACGGCUUGGGUGUCCCUGGAAAUCUCAAAGGCCAUGCAUUAAGAAUGAAGACCACACACCAGAACUGAGGGGUACGCUCCAGGACUGGGGUCAAAACUGAAAUAGACUCACCCUAGAAAAGCUAAAACCAAGCCUCUGCAUGGGAUCAAAGUGACCUGCCGGUCAUUUAAUGACCUGCCAGAACACACCAAAUGCUCUUUAAAGCUAUACUUGUAUCAGAACAGACUACAAAUCAGAGAUUCUAAGAGACAAAUAAGGUCCCAAUAUAAUGAUAAAAGGGUGAAUUCAGCAAGAGGACAGAACAAUUAAAAUAUUCACGCACCCAACACCAGAGCUCCCUGGUACAUAAAUACUGACCAAUCUCAAGGAGAGACCGACUGCAGUACAGUCACAGCAGGGGACUUCAGCACCCCACUCAGCAAUCCCCUAGCCAGGAAGUAACAAACCCUGGAGUUCAAGCACACGCUGGACCAGAGAGGCCUGCUGUUCACAGAACAUUUCACCCAACUGCGGCCGAGACGCGAUCUUUCAUCAGCACGUGGAAGAUGCUCUGGAAGAGACCAUAUCGUAGGCCACAAAAGAAGUCUGAGCGAUUUCAAAAAAGUAGAAAUCUUACCAAGCAUCUUCAGAACAAAGCUAGAAAUCAGUAAGCGAAACCGAGCACAAGGACAUUAAGCAGCCCGCUCCCGAACAACACUGGGUCCAUGAAGAAAAGAGGAAGAAAUUUAAAAAUUGUCUUGAAACAAAUGAAAAUGGAGAUACAACAACCCCUAAUCCAUGGGAGACAGCGAAAGCAGCGCUAAGGGGGAAGCAAUAAACACCUACAUCCAAAAAGGACAGACUUCGAAGAAACAACUGAAUGACACACCUCAAGGAACUAGAAAAGCAAGAACAGACCCAAUCCCAAAUUAGAAGAAAUGAUACAGAUCAGAGCAGAAAUAGAAAAACUGCACAUGGAAGAAAAUAUGGAAGACCAACAAAAUGAAAAGUAGUUUUUAAAAGAUAGACAUCUAGGGCCGGGCGCGGUGGCUCAAGCCUGUAAUCCCAGCACUUUGGGAGGCCAAGGCAGGUGGAUCACGAGGUCAAGAGAUCGAGACCAUCCUGGUCAACAUGGUGAAACCCCAUCUCUACUAAAAAUACAAAAAAUUAGCUGGGCAUGGUGGCGAGUGCCUGUAAUCCCAGCUACUCAGGAGGCUGAGGCAGGAGAAUUGCCUGAACCCAGGAGGCAGAGGUUGCAGUGAGCCGAGAUCGCGCCAUUACACUCCAGCCUGGGUAACAAGAGCGAAACUCCGUCUCAAAAAAAAAAAAUAGACAUCUACACACCUUUAGCUAGACUAAGAACAA
Molecule: non-coding RNA, 9804 nt
Organism: Callithrix jacchus (white-tufted-ear marmoset)
Lineage: Eukaryota; Metazoa; Chordata; Mammalia; Primates; Cebidae
Source: RefSeq, a predicted model, not a curated record